UACGGGGGGGGCAAGCGUUGUUCGGAAUUAUUGGGUUUAAAGGGUGCGUAGGCGGCCUAUUAAGUCAGGGGUGAAAGACGGUAGCUUAACUAUCGCAGUGCCUUUGAUACUGAUGGGCUUGAAUACACUAGAGGUAGGCGGAAUGUGACAAGUAGCGGUGAAAUGCAUAGAUAUGUCACAGAACACCAAUUGCGAAGGCAGCUUACUAUGGUGCAAUUGACGCUGAGGCACGAAAGCGUGGGGAUCAAACAGG
Molecule: ribosomal RNA, 253 nt
Filed under: uncultured bacterium
Lineage: Bacteria
Description: partial 16S ribosomal RNA
Rfam family: Bacterial small subunit ribosomal RNA
Source: RNAcentral